RNAcentral lists this transfer RNA (67 nucleotides) under Marmota monax (woodchuck). RNAcentral describes it as "tRNA.Ala". Lineage: Eukaryota; Metazoa; Chordata; Mammalia; Rodentia; Sciuridae. The record is from RNAcentral.
GGCUAUAGCUCAGUGGCAGAGCACGUGCCUAGCAUGGGUGAGGCACUGGGUUCGAUCCUCAGUACCA